This 83-nucleotide ribosomal RNA is filed under the name Salvator merianae (Argentine black and white tegu). Lineage: Eukaryota; Metazoa; Chordata; Lepidosauria; Squamata; Teiidae. The record is from RNAcentral.
CCUUUCAGUCAUGCACUAAACAAAUCAGGCACUGGCUAGUGCUUAGAUGGGUGACUGCUUGAGAAUACCAGGUGCUGAAGGCU